CCCGCCAGACCUGACUGCUAUCGGAUUGAUACUAAGCCAUGCGAGUCGUUGUAGCAAUACAAGGCAUACGGCUCAGUAACGCGUAGUCAACCUAACCUAUGGACGGGAAUAACCUCGGGAAACUGAGAAUAAUGCCCGAUAGAACAUUAUGCCUGGAAUGGUUUAUGUUCCAAAUGAUUUAUCGCCAUAGGAUGGGACUGCGGCCUAUCAGUUUGUUGGUGAGGUAAUGGCCCACCAAGACUAUUACAGGUACGGGCUCUGAGAGGAGUAGCCCGGAGAUGGGUACUGAGACACGGACCCAGGCCCUAUGGGGCGCAGCAGGCGAGAAAACUUUGCAAUGUGCGAAAGCACGACAAGGUUAAUCCGAGUGAUUUCUGCUAAAGAGAUCUUUUGUUAGUCCUAGAAACACUAACGAAUAAGGGGUGGGCAAGUUCUGGUGUCAGCCGCCGCGGUAAAACCAGCACCUCAAGUGGUCAGGAUGAUUAUUGGGCCUAAAGCAUCCGUAGCCGGCUCUGUAAGUUUUCGGUUAAAUCUGUACGCUCAACGUACAGGCUGCCGGAAAUACUGCAGAACUAGGGAGUGGGAGAGGUAGACGGUACUCGGUAGGAAGUGGUAAAAUGCUUUGAUCUAUCGAUGACCACCUGUGGCGAAGGUGGUCUACCAGAACACGUCCGACGGUGAGGGAUGAAAGCUGGGGGAGCAAACCGGAUUAGAUACCCGGGUAGUCCCAGCUGUAAACUAUGCAAACUCAGUGAUGCAUUGGCUUGUGGCCAAUGCAGUGCUGCAGGGAAGCCGUUAAGUUUGCCGCCUGGGAAGUACGUACGCAAGUAUGAAACUUAAAGGAAUUGGCGGGGGAGCACCACAAGGGGUGAAGCCUGCGGUUCAAUUGGAGUCAACGCCGGG
RNAcentral lists this ribosomal RNA (903 nucleotides) under uncultured archaeon. RNAcentral describes it as "bacterial SSU rRNA". It matches the Rfam family "Archaeal small subunit ribosomal RNA", at positions 13 to 922 of the family's 1478-position model. The record is from RNAcentral.